Molecule: ribosomal RNA, 49 nt
Filed under: Annulohypoxylon stygium
Lineage: Eukaryota; Fungi; Ascomycota; Sordariomycetes; Xylariales; Hypoxylaceae
Description: partial 28S ribosomal RNA
Source: RNAcentral
GGUUGACCUCGGAUUAGGUAGGAAUACCCGCUGAACUUAAGCAUACAAA